This 253-nucleotide signal recognition particle RNA is filed under the name Candidatus Bathyarchaeota archaeon. RNAcentral describes it as "partial signal recognition particle sRNA". It matches the Rfam family "Archaeal signal recognition particle RNA". Lineage: Archaea; Thermoproteati; Candidatus Bathyarchaeota. The record is from RNAcentral.
GUCCUCUGGGGCUGGCGGUCGCGGAGCAUCCUUCGUAGGAAGGAUGUAACCGCGUUUACCAAGCGAACCUGGCCAGGCCCGGGAGAUGGAGGUGUAAAGGAAAUAGGGAUGGAAAGCGUAACGUUGCUAAAUGAGCUGUCCACCCGAAGGAGCAACCUAAGCUUGGACGUUCAGUGCUCAGAGGGGUGCGGGUGUGAGCGGUGGGUUGGUUUGGGUUUGCGGAUUCUACACGUCGAGCUUUAGUGACCCGCCG